AUGAAAAUUUAUCUCAGCUAAUAUAUUAUUUCCCGUUUCAGUUUAAUUAUCAUUGUAUAGUAAAAUUUGAUAAGCUUUGUGCUUAAUGUCUUGUCCAUUCCAUUACAUCUCACCAUCAAAUAUACAAACCUAAGACACGGCCUCUAUACAAUAGCUUUGGGAAAGUUAACAUAAUACUUUACAAUGACUCUUGACUUAUGGAAACUAUGAUAUACGCCAACUUUCUCCGCAAGCUUCGUAUCUUCUUCAUAUAAGCUCCAAUACUAGUCUCCCCCUCAA
Molecule: long non-coding RNA, 279 nt
Filed under: Brassica napus (rape)
Lineage: Eukaryota; Viridiplantae; Streptophyta; Magnoliopsida; Brassicales; Brassicaceae
Description: long non-coding RNA (BNAP_LNC021159)
Source: RNAcentral